GUCUGUGUGUGGGGGACAGUGAGGGUUGUGUAUAUAGUGUGUGUGAGGGGGACAGUGAGGGUUGUGUAUAUAGUGUGUGUGAGGGGGGCAGUGAGAGUUGUGUAUAUAGUGUGUGUGAGGGGGACAGUGAGGGUUGUGUAUAUAGUGUGUGUGAGGGUGGCAGUGAGAGUUGUGUAUAUAGUGUGUGUGAGGGGGCAGUGAGUUGUGUAUAUAGUGUGUGUGAGGGGGGCAGUGAGUUGUGUAUAUAGUGUGUGUGAGGGGGGCAGUGAGUUGUGUAUAUAGUGUGUGUGAGGGGGGCAGUGAGUUGUGUAUAUAGUGUGUGUGAGGGGGCAGUGAGUUGUGUAUAUAGUGUGUGUG
Long non-coding RNA from Oncorhynchus keta (chum salmon), 357 nucleotides. RefSeq lists it as uncharacterized. Lineage: Eukaryota; Metazoa; Chordata; Actinopteri; Salmoniformes; Salmonidae. The record is from RefSeq and is a predicted model, not a curated record. The transcript has 3 exons.